AGAAUGAACGCUGGCGGCGUGCUUAACACAUGCAAGUCGAACGAGAAAGUGGAGCAAUCCAUGAGUAAAGUGGCGCACGGGUGAGUAACACGUGACUAACCUACCCUUGAGUGGGGGAUAACCUAGAGAAAUCUGGGCUAAUACCGCAUAAUACCUUCGGGUCAAAGGAGCAAUUCGCUUAAGGAGGGGGUCGCGGCCGAUUAGUUAGUUGGCGGGGUAAUGGCCCACCAAGACUAUGAUCGGUAUCCGGCCUGAGAGGGCGCACGGACACACUGGAACUGAAACACGGUCCAGACUCCUACGGGAGGCAGCAGUGGGGAAUUUUGCGCAAUGGGGGAAACCCUGACGCAGCAACGCCGCGUGGAGGAUGAAGUCCCUUGGGACGUAAACUCCUUUCGAUCGGGACGAUUAUGACGGUACCGGAAGAAGAAGCCCCGGCUAACUUCGCGCCAGCAGCCGC
RNAcentral lists this ribosomal RNA (460 nucleotides) under uncultured bacterium. RNAcentral describes it as "SSU rRNA". It matches the Rfam family "Bacterial small subunit ribosomal RNA", at positions 26 to 518 of the family's 1533-position model. The record is from RNAcentral.